CGGACGGGUGAGUAACACGUGGAUAACCUACCUAUAAGACUGGGAUAACUUCGGGAAACCGGAGCUAAUACCGGAUAACAUGUUGAACCGCAUGGUUCAACAGCGAAAGACGGUCUUGCUGUCACUUAUAGAUGGAUCCGCGCCGCAUUAGCUAGUUGGUAAGGUAACGGCUUACCAAGGCAACGAUGCGUAGCCGACCUGAGAGGGUGAUCGGCCACACUGGAACUGAGACACGGUCCAG
This 241-nucleotide ribosomal RNA is filed under the name uncultured Staphylococcus sp. RNAcentral describes it as "partial 16S ribosomal RNA". It matches the Rfam family "Bacterial small subunit ribosomal RNA", at positions 99 to 334 of the family's 1533-position model. The record is from RNAcentral. Lineage: Bacteria; Bacillati; Bacillota; Bacilli; Caryophanales; Staphylococcaceae.